This 340-nucleotide ribosomal RNA is filed under the name Cicindela campestris. RNAcentral describes it as "partial 16S ribosomal RNA". The record is from RNAcentral. Lineage: Eukaryota; Metazoa; Arthropoda; Insecta; Coleoptera; Carabidae.
AUUGAGAGCUUGUAUGAAGGGUUGGACGAGAUAAAAUCUGUCUUUAUUUAAAUUACAAUAAAAUUUAACUUUUAAGUCAAAAGGCUUAAAUGUGUAUAAAAGACGAGAAGACCCUAUAGAUCUUUAUUUAGUUAAUAUUUUAAUAAUUUAGGAUUAUUUUAAUUUAAAGUUUUAAUUAAAUUUUAUUGGGGUAAUAUAAAGAUUAAAUAAAUUCUUUUUAUUUAUUACAUUAAUUUAUGAAUUUGUGAUCCAAUAUUAUUGAUUAUAAGAUUAAGUUACCUUAGGGAUAACAGCGUAAUUUUUUUGGAGAGCUCAUAUCGAUAAAAAAGUUUGCGACCUC